RNAcentral lists this ribosomal RNA (876 nucleotides) under Amanita fuligineodisca. Its description in RNAcentral is "LSU rRNA". It matches the Rfam family "Eukaryotic large subunit ribosomal RNA", at positions 87 to 929 of the family's 3401-position model. The record is from RNAcentral. Lineage: Eukaryota; Fungi; Basidiomycota; Agaricomycetes; Agaricales; Amanitaceae.
CUGCGAGUGAAGCGGGAAAAGCUCAAAUUUGAAAUCUGGCAGUCUAUUUUUUCUUCUUUGGCUGUCCGAGUUGUAAUCUAGAGAAGUGCUUACCUGCACUGGACCAUGUAUAAGUCUCCUGGAAUGGAGCGUCGCAGAGGGUGAGAAUCCCGUCUUUGACAUGGACUGCCAGUGUGUUGUGGUGUGCUCUCAAAGAGUCGAGUUGUUUGGGAAUGCAGCUCUAAAUGGGUGGUAAACUCCAUCUAAAGCUAAAUAUUGGCGAGAGACCGAUAGCGAACAAGUACCGUGAGGGAAAGAUGAAAAGGACUUUGGAAAGAGAGUUAAACAGUAUGUGAAAUUGUUGAAAGGGAAACGCUUGAAGUCAGUUAUGUUGGCUAGGGAUCAACCUAGCUGUCUUUUGCUGGGUGAAUUUCCUAGUCUGACAGGCCAACAUCAGUCUUGACUGCUGGAAAAGAGCAGAGGGAAUGUGGCACCUUCGGGUGUGUUAUAGCCCUUUGUCAUAUGUGGCGGUUGGGACUGAGGGAUGCAGCGUGCCGCGAGGCUGGGUUUCGACCACGUUCACGCUUAGGAUGUUGGCUUUUAAUGGCUUCAAUCGACCCGUCUUGAAACACGGACCAAGGAGUCUAACAUGCCUGCAAGUGUUUGGGUGGAAAACCCUUGCGCACAAUGAAAGUGAAAGUUGAGAUCCCUGUCAUGGGGAGCAUCGACGCCCGGACUUGAGCUUUUAGCGACGGAUCCGCGGUAGAGCAUGCAUGUUGGGACCCGAAAGAUGGUGAACUAUGCCUGAAUAGGGCAAAGCCAGAGGAAACUCUGGUGGAGGCUCGUAGCGAUUCUGACGUGCAAAUCGAUCGUCAAAUUUGGGUAUAGGGGCGAAAG